AAUAUUGGACAAUGGGCGGAAGCCUGAUCCAGCAACGCCGCGUGAGGGAUGACGGCCUUCGGGUUGUAAACCUCUUUCAGCACCGACGAAGCGUGAGUGACGGUAGGUGCAGAAGAAGGACCGGCCAACUACGUGCCAGCAGCCGCGGUAAUACGUAGGGGUCUAGCGUUGUCCGGAAUUAUUGGGCGUAAAGAGCUCGUAGGCGGUUCGGCAAGUCGGAUGUGAAAUCUCCACGCUUAACGUGGAGGGGCCAUUCGAAACUGCCGUGACUCGAGUCCGGUAGGGGAGUGCGGAAUUCCCGGUGUAGCGGUGAAAUGCGCAGAUAUCGGGAGGAACACCAGUGGCGAAGGCGGCACUCUGGGCCGGAACUGACGCUGAGGAGCGAAAGCGUGGGGAGCGAA
This 401-nucleotide ribosomal RNA is filed under the name uncultured bacterium. RNAcentral's name for it is "bacterial SSU rRNA". It matches the Rfam family "Bacterial small subunit ribosomal RNA", at positions 360 to 772 of the family's 1533-position model. The record is from RNAcentral.